AAAUAAACUCACAUAUUCACUCAAAAUCAAAAUCUCUUUCCCCCAAUGCACGAACCCUAAUCUCACUUUUCUCAACCCCGAUUUUUUUUUAACAUCUUGAAGAACCAGAACAUCUCUUAACCAAAUCACCAACAUUAUUAGCAAUUCGGAACCGAACAUCGCGUCUCCGAGUCCAUCCGUUGGAGCUCAGAUCCCAUCUCCUUCUCUGUUGGAACAACAAACACUGAGUCAGCAACUCGGUCAGACUCGGCAAGUCUCUUCUUCGAUUCCGCAACAUUUAAGUUUGCAGCAAAUGCCAAUGUUGAAUUAUCACAUAGCUCAGCGAUCCCCUUCUGUUUCUCGCACGAUCCAAGUUCAGCAGCAUCAAGGUCAAUACGGCAACGUUUUGGAGCAGCAAGCUGGGAUGUACGGAGCGAUUAAAUUUGGUGAUUCAAGUUCUGUUCAACAAAACAUAUCGAGGGCAGCUUUGCUUGGCCAAAGCGGACACUUGCCAAUACAUAUAACACUGCAGCUGGAGCCGCAGCCUAGUUAUUGGCAGCUUCCUCGCCAAGGCAGCAGUCUGGCCUAGUCGAAGGCUCUCAGUGUCAUCCGGGAAGUUAUGGACAACAGUUACAGGGGAUGCGAGUGAUGGAAUCAUUGAAUUUGAGCUCGCAAAUGAGAGCUAACCCUGCUCUCUAUGCUCAGCAGCUAAGCAAUCCGGGGCAAAUUAUACAAUAAUCGUCACAGCAAGAUGCUCUUUCUUUGCCUCAGGUAUGAGUUUAAAAAAUCUCAGUAGCUUGACUGAAUUUUUUUGUAAUCCUCUGUUUAGGUCCAAAACCUCCAGUGAACACAUUUAAAGUUCUUGAAGGUUCCGUGAUGUGUUUCUCUGCGAUGGUGUUGAUGAUAAAAACUUUCGGAAGCUGUAGGUCUUUGCCUGGUGCAACAAGGUUUGAGGGUGCCCCGGGAGCUCGCGAUAACCUGAGGCUUAGUCCGCUCAUACCUCCCCUCUGGACCAUCGAUGUUACGCUACCUCCGGUUCAUCUCGACGACCAUUCUUCUUUGUAAUAGUUUCUGCAUUUUUCUUAUAAGAUGCUCUGUUUAGGUUUUAUUUCCGUUUCUCUGCUACUAGUCUUCUUCGUCUUUCUGUAAAAAACAAAAACUUGGUAUAAUCAAUUUAACAUUUUACCAAAAAAAAAAAGUUCUCAAAGGUUUAACA
Brassica napus (rape) is the source of this 1195-nucleotide RNA transcript. It is a transcript of the gene named transcription initiation factor TFIID subunit 12b-like, with no coding region annotated. The record is from RefSeq and is a predicted model, not a curated record. The transcript is spliced from 2 exons. NCBI's taxonomy places the organism in Eukaryota, Viridiplantae, Streptophyta, Magnoliopsida, Brassicales, Brassicaceae.